AUCAAUGAACAGGUGGCAAAAGGAAGGAGUUGGCCACCUGCAAUAGUGCUAAAGACAUCGUUGCCUCAUUACACAGCUGAAAAAACCACCGUGAAACAGAGAUCUGAGCAGGUGGAACCCCUGUUGAGUUCAGUCGGACUUGCUUCUGAAGAAACAUAGCUGAAAUUGUGCUGCAUGAAGAACAGCAUGGAGCAAAACAGAGAAGCAAGGUCCAGUCUCUGACCCCUGGGCUCCCCAGACAUCACCAGACACUGCCUACAUGUUUCCAAGCAUCUCUACAACCACAAAGGUGAGAAAAAGAA
Molecule: non-coding RNA, 302 nt
Organism: Podarcis muralis (Common wall lizard)
Lineage: Eukaryota; Metazoa; Chordata; Lepidosauria; Squamata; Lacertidae
Source: RefSeq, a predicted model, not a curated record